This 231-nucleotide long non-coding RNA is filed under the name Lathyrus oleraceus (garden pea). RNAcentral's name for it is "Pisum sativum (pea) long non-coding RNA (PSAT_LNC036413)". Lineage: Eukaryota; Viridiplantae; Streptophyta; Magnoliopsida; Fabales; Fabaceae. The record is from RNAcentral.
UUUUUUUUUUACAUUACAUUUGUAAUGCCCCAGUUUGACUGGUUUGCUGAUUCUCAUGAUACAGCUGAAUGAGCUUCUUUCGUGCUCAAGAAGGCGGGUACUCUCAUCAGGAAUCCCCUUCAACAUCAUCUUCCUCUGCCUCGAAUACAAGGAAUUCAAAUUUGGGAGAUGGCGUUGGAUCAUUAUGUUCAAUGGGUUUAGAAAUCCCUGCAUAAUGAUUCUGGAUAACGA